GGGGGCGAUCGGAUUUGACUGGGUUUCCGUCGAUCAGGGUGGCGUGUCGAGGUUGAUCAGUUGGCCUCGUAAAAAGCUGAUCACCAAUAACUGCAAAACCGCAGUUCUCUCUCGCAGCCUAAAUAAGGUUGCGCCGGCCUAAGGAUCCUUGCCUGAGGAGCCGACCGCUGGUUACAAAUUCGGGCUGGCAUCAAUUCACUGUCUGCUACGGUUGAUGCAAGAUUUGUUGCGGGCUAGUGGUGAAAGGUCUUGUUCAUUGAACCUCGUCAUCGCGAAAUUAAUCAACGAACUACACACGUAGAGGCUUUGGUUUAGGGGCAACAGGACGCGGGUUCGAUUCCCGCCGCCUCCAUUG
Molecule: transfer-messenger RNA, 355 nt
Filed under: Planctomycetaceae
Lineage: Bacteria; Pseudomonadati; Planctomycetota; Planctomycetia; Planctomycetales
Also listed under: 1 other name
Description: F1-80-MAGs062 sp016795105 Standard tmRNA
Rfam family: transfer-messenger RNA
About the family: Bacterial tmRNA, also known as 10Sa RNA or SsrA, is named for its dual tRNA and mRNA-like properties. Its role is to liberate the mRNA from a stalled ribosome.
Source: RNAcentral